AAUUAUCGAGAUUUUGUAUGGCUGCUCUUUGGCAGCUGCUCACACAGGUUCAUAUCCUUCAGCUAUACCAUUGAAUUGUUUCAUUUUUUUUUCCUCCACAGAACAGAGGAUGCUGGCAAAAGACAAAGCAAGAAACAAUAACAUAGCGUUCAGCUCAGUGGAUUCGAUUCAGCCAGUUCUGGAACAGCAAGGCUCCAGUUACUGUUUGUCUUCCUGGCGUGCCAAGAAGGCCCACGAUGCAAGCAGAUGUGACUCGUCAGAACUUCUAGCCCGGCUCGCUGAAGAUGUUUUUUGCCUCAGGUUUCUCAUUAUUACC
Molecule: long non-coding RNA, 316 nt
Filed under: Dromaius novaehollandiae (emu)
Lineage: Eukaryota; Metazoa; Chordata; Aves; Casuariiformes; Dromaiidae
Description: lncRNA (ENSDNVG00000006941.1)
Source: RNAcentral